Molecule: ribosomal RNA, 500 nt
Filed under: uncultured Glomeromycotina
Lineage: Eukaryota; Fungi; Glomeromycota
Description: partial small subunit ribosomal RNA
Rfam family: Eukaryotic small subunit ribosomal RNA
Source: RNAcentral
CCAAUAGCGUAUAUUAAAGUUGUUGCAGUUAAAAAGCUCGUAGUUGAAUUUCGGGAUCAAUAUGUCGGUCGUGCCUUCGGUACGUACUGGUAUCAUUGGUCUCUCCUUUCUGACGAACCAUGAUGUCAUUAAUUUGGUGUUAUGGGGAGUUAGGACUGUUACUUUGAAAAAAUUAGAGUGUUUAAAGCAGGCUUUAGCUUGAAUACAUUAGCAUGGAAUAAUGAAAUAGGACGUUCGAACCUAUUUUGUUGGUUUCUAGGAUCAACGUAAUGAUUAAUAGGGAUAGUUGGGGGCAUUAGUAUUCAAUUGUCAGAGGUGAAAUUCUUGGAUUUAUUGAAGACUAACUACUGCGAAAGCAUUUGCCAAGGAUGUUUUCAUUAAUCAAGAACGAAAGUUAGGGGAUCGAAGACGAUCAGAUACCGCCGUAGUCUUAACCAUAAACUAUGCCGACUAGGGAUCGGAUGAUGUUAAUUUUUUAAUGACUCAUUCGGCGCCUUACG